UGGGGAAUUUUGCACAAUGGGCGCAAGCCUGAUGCAGCGACGCCGCGUGAGGGAUGAAGGCCUUCGGGUUGUAAACCUUUUUCGCUCAUGGUCAAGCCGCAGCUUUGGGUUGUGGUGAGGGUAGUGGGUAAAGAAGCGCCGGCUAACUACGUGCCAGCAGCCGCGGUAAUACGUAGGGCGCGAGCGUUGUCCGGAAUUAUUGGGCGUAAAGGGCUUGUGGGCGGUUGGCCGCGUCUGCCGUGAAAUCCUCUGGCUUAACUGGGGGCGUGCGGUGGGUACGGGUUGACUUGAGUGCGGUAGGGGAGACUGGAAUUCCUGGUGUGGCGGUGGAAUGCGCAGAUAUCAGGAGGAACACCGGUGGCGAAGGCGGGGCUCUGGGCCGUAACUGACGCUGAGGAGCGAAAGCGUGGGGAGCGAACAGG
RNAcentral lists this ribosomal RNA (422 nucleotides) under Verrucomicrobiota bacterium. Its description in RNAcentral is "Verrucomicrobia bacterium partial 16S ribosomal RNA". It matches the Rfam family "Bacterial small subunit ribosomal RNA", at positions 355 to 776 of the family's 1533-position model. Lineage: Bacteria; Pseudomonadati; Verrucomicrobiota. The record is from RNAcentral.